UUUCUCUUCUCUUCUGGAUCAGUCACCACCUGAAGAUGUGUAUGGGCAGGUUCAGCCGCCGCUCCAUGGCCAGAGGCAGAAGGAGCCGCUACAGCUGCGGAUCAGGAUCCACCAACAGAUACAAGUCCUCUCCGUCCAGCAGAAGAAGGAGACGCAGGAGACGCUGAGGAGGACGGCGUCCAUCGUGAAGGUCUGGGCAGUUUCAUCAUCUGCGUCACCAUCCUCCUUCCGUCCCUCACUUUAGAAGAUAAGAUGGGCCCCAGUAAUAUGGAUGCUCUCCUGUGUGAGGGCCACUAUGCUUCACUCCUUGGUAGAAGAUAAGAUGGGCCCCGGUGAUCAGGACGUCUUUUCCCGUUGCCCUUAAUAAAUGUGACAGACAGAGCAUA
This is a long non-coding RNA of Hyla sarda, 386 nucleotides long. RefSeq lists it as uncharacterized. The record is from RefSeq and is a predicted model, not a curated record. The transcript is spliced from 2 exons. NCBI's taxonomy places the organism in Eukaryota, Metazoa, Chordata, Amphibia, Anura, Hylidae.